AUGCUGGAGGUAUCAGAAGUGCGAAUGCUGACAUAAGUAACGAUAAAGCGGGUGAAAAGCCCGCUCGCCGGAAGACCAAGGGUUCCUGUCCAACGUUAAUCGGGGCAGGGUGAGUCGACCCCUAAGGCGAGGCCGAAAGGCGUAGUCGAUGGGAAACAGGUUAAUAUUCCUGUACUUGGUGUUACUGCGAAGGGGGGACGGAGAAGGCUAUGUUGGCCGGGCGACGGUUGUCCCGGUUUAAGCGUGUAGGCUGGUUUUCCAGGCAAAUCCGGAAAAUCAAGGCUGAGGCGUGAUGACGAGGCACUACGGUGCUGAAGCAACAAAUGCCCUGCUUCCAGGAAAAGCCUCUAAGCAUCAGGUAACAUCAAAUCGUACCCCAAACCGACACAGGUGGUCAGGUAGAGAAUACCAAGGCGCUUGAGAGAACUCGGGUGAAGGAACUAGGCAAAAUGGUGCCGUAACUUCGGGAGAAGGCACGCUGAUAUGUAGGUGAGGUCCCUCGCGGAUGGAGCUGAAAUCAGUCGAAGAUACCAGCUGGCUGCAACUGUUUAUUAAAAACACAGCACUGUGCAAACACGAAAGUGGACGUAUACGGUGUGACGCCUGCCCGGUGCCGGAAGGUUAAUUGAUGGGGUUAGCGGUAACGCGAAGCUCUUGAUCGAAGCCCCGGUAAACGGCGGCCGUAACUAUAACGGUCCUAAGGUAGCGAAAUUCCUUGUCGGGUAAGUUCCGACCUGCACGAAUGGCGUAAUGAUGGCCAGGCUGUCUCCACCCGAGACUCAGUGAAAUUGAACUCGCUGUGAAGAUGCAGUGUACCCGCGGCAAGACGGAAAGACCCCGUGAACCUUUACUAUAGCUUGACACUGAACAUUGAGCCUUGAUGUGUAGGAUAGGUGGGAGGCUUAGAAGUGUGGACGCCAGUCUGCAUGGAGCCGACCUUGAAAUACCACCCUUUAAUGUUUGAUGUUCUAACGUUGACCCGUAAUCCGGGUUGCGGACAGUGUCUGGUGGGUAGUUUGACUGGGGCGGUCUCCUCCUAAAGAGUAACGGAGGAGCACGAAGGUUGGCUAAUCCUGGUCGGACAUCAGGAGGUUAGUGCAAUGGCAUAAGCCAGCUUGACUGCGAGCGUGACGGCGCGAGCAGGUGCGAAAGCAGGUCAUAGUGAUCCGGUGGUUCUGAAUGGAAGGGCCAUCGCUCAACGGAUAAAAGGUACUCCGGGGAUAACAGGCUGAUACCGCCCAAGAGUUCAUAUCGACGGCGGUGUUUGGCACCUCGAUGUCGGCUCAUCACAUCCUGGGGCUGAAGUAGGUCCCAAGGGUAUGGCUGUUCGCCAUUUAAAGUGGUACGCGAGCUGGGUUUAGAACGUCGUGAGACAGUUCGGUCCCUAUCUGCCGUGGGCGCUGGAGAACUGAGGGGGGCUGCUCCUAGUACGAGAGGACCGGAGUGGACGCAUCACUGGUGUUCGGGUUGUCAUGCCAAUGGCACUGCCCGGUAGCUAAAUGCGGAAGAGAUAAGUGCUGAAAGCAUCUAAGCACGAAACUUGCCCCGAGAUGAGUUCUCCCUGAC
RNAcentral lists this ribosomal RNA (1566 nucleotides) under Escherichia coli. RNAcentral describes it as "partial 23S ribosomal RNA". It matches the Rfam family "Bacterial large subunit ribosomal RNA", at positions 1270 to 2819 of the family's 2925-position model. The record is from RNAcentral. Lineage: Bacteria; Pseudomonadati; Pseudomonadota; Gammaproteobacteria; Enterobacterales; Enterobacteriaceae.